This 500-nucleotide ribosomal RNA is filed under the name uncultured bacterium. RNAcentral describes it as "partial 16S ribosomal RNA". It matches the Rfam family "Bacterial small subunit ribosomal RNA", at positions 30 to 523 of the family's 1533-position model. The record is from RNAcentral.
AUUGAACGCUGGCGGAAUGCUUUACACAUGCAAGUCGCACGGCAGCACGGACUUCGGUCUGGUGGCGAGUGGCGAACGGGUGAGUAAUGUAUCGGAACGUGCCCAGUCGUGGGGGAUAACGUAGUGAAAAUUACGCUAAUACCGCAUACGAUCUAUGGAUGAAAGAGGGGGAUCGCAAGACCUCGCGCGAUUGGAGCGGUCGAUAUCAGAUUAGGUAGUUGGUGGGGUAAAGGCCCACCAAGCCAACGAUCCGUAGCUGGUCUGAGAGGACGACCAGCCACACUGGAACUGAGACACGGUCCAGACUCCAACGGGAGGCAUCAGUGGGGAAUUUUGGACAAUGGGCGAAAGCCUGAUCCAGCCAUUCCGCGUGCAGGAUGAAGGCCCUCGGGUUGUAAACUGCUUUUGUACAGAACGAAAAGGUUUCUACUAAUACUAGGAGCUCAUGACGGUACUGUAAGAAUAAGCACCGGCUAACUACGUGCCAGCAGCCGCCGUAA